ACUCCUACGGGAGGCAGCAGUGGGGAAUUUUGGACAAUGGGGGCAACCCUGAUCCAGCAAUGCCGCGUGAGUGAAGAAGGCCUUCGGGUUGUAAAGCUCUUUUGUCAGGGAAGAAACGGUAGUAGCGAAUAACUAUUACUAAUGACGGUACCUGAAGAAUAAGCACCGGCUAACUACGUGCCAGCAGCCGCGGUAAUACGUAGGGUGCAAGCGUUAAUCGGAAUUACUGGGCGUAAAGCGUGCGCAGGCGGUUGUGUAAGUCAGAUGUGAAAUCCCCGGGCUCAACCUGGGAAUUGCAUUUGAGACUGCACGGCUAGAGUGUGUCAGAGGGGGGUAGAAUUCCACGUGUAGCAGUGAAAUGCGUAGAUAUGUGGAGGAAUACCGAUGGCGAAGGCAGCCCCCUGGGAUAACACUGACGCUCAUGCACGAAAGCGUGGGGAGCAAACAGGAUUAGAAACCCUUGUAGUCCCAUG
This 473-nucleotide ribosomal RNA is filed under the name uncultured organism. RNAcentral describes it as "partial 16S ribosomal RNA". It matches the Rfam family "Bacterial small subunit ribosomal RNA", at positions 335 to 799 of the family's 1533-position model. The record is from RNAcentral.